UGUGCUGGUGUUGAGAAGGCUCCGGGAACCACAGAUUAUGGUUAAUCCAAUUCUGUGCACCUGAGGUCCAUA
Molecule: small nucleolar RNA, 72 nt
Filed under: Otolemur garnettii (small-eared galago)
Lineage: Eukaryota; Metazoa; Chordata; Mammalia; Primates; Galagidae
Description: Small nucleolar RNA SNORD112 (ENSOGAG00000022747.1)
Source: RNAcentral